GACGAACGCUGGCGGCGUGCUUAACACAUGCAAGUCGAACGGUGAACUCCGCUUGCGGGGGGAUCAGUGGCGGACGGGUGCGUAACACGUGGGCAACCUGCCCUCAGCUCUGGGAUAACUCCAAGAAAGUGGGGCUAAUACCGGUAAUGACCGCUGACCGCAUGGUCUGGUGGCGGAAAGAUUUCUCGGCUGGGGAUGGGCCCGCGGCCUAUCCGCUGGUUGGUGGGGUAGUGGCCUACCAAGGCGACGACGGGUGGCCGGCCUGGGAGGGUGACCGGCCACACUGGGACUGAGACACGGCCCAGACUCCUACGGGAGGCAGCAGUGGGGAAUAUUGCGCAAUGGGCGAAAGCCUGACGCAGCGACGCCGCGUGGGGGAUGACGGCCUUCGGGUUGUAAACCUCUUUCAGCAGGGACGAAGCGAAAGUGACGGUACCUGCAGAAGAAGCACCGGCCAACUACGUG
This 465-nucleotide ribosomal RNA is filed under the name uncultured bacterium. RNAcentral's name for it is "partial 16S ribosomal RNA". It matches the Rfam family "Bacterial small subunit ribosomal RNA", at positions 28 to 507 of the family's 1533-position model. The record is from RNAcentral.